AAAUUGAAGAGUUUGAUCAUGGCUCAGAUUGAACGCUGGCGGCAGGCCUAACACAUGCAAGUCGAACGGUAACAGGAAUCAGCUUGCUGAUUCGCUGACGAGUGGCGGACGGGUGAGUAAUGUCUGGGAAACUGCCUGAUGGAGGGGGAUAACUACUGGAAACGGUAGCUAAUACCGCAUAAUGUCGCAAGACCAAAAAGGGGGACCUUCGGGCCUCUUGCCAUCAGAUGUGCCCAGAUGGGAUUAGCUUGUUGGUGGGGUAACGGCUCACCAAGGCGACGAUCCCUAGCUGGUCUGAGAGGAUGACCAGCCACACUGGAACUGAGAC
Molecule: ribosomal RNA, 328 nt
Filed under: Shigella boydii
Lineage: Bacteria; Pseudomonadati; Pseudomonadota; Gammaproteobacteria; Enterobacterales; Enterobacteriaceae
Description: bacterial SSU rRNA
Rfam family: Bacterial small subunit ribosomal RNA
Source: RNAcentral